ACGUAGGUGCGCUGACAUGAGAGUCGUAGGAGCAGCACGGACGUCGGUCUGGUGGCGAGUGGCGAAUGAGGUGAGUAAUGUAUCGGAACGAGCCCAGUAGCGGGGGAUAACUACGCGAAAGCGUAGCUAAUACCGCAUACGCCCUACGGGGGAAAGCAGGGGAUCGCAAGACCUUGCACUAUUGGAGCGGCCGAUAUCGGAUUAGCUAGUUGGUGGGGUAACGGCUCACCAAGGCGACGAUCCGUAGCUGGUUUGAGAGGACGACCAGCCACACUGGGACUGAGACACGGCCCAGACUCCUACGGGAGGCAGCAGUGGGGAAUUUUGGACAAUGGGGGAAACCCUGAUCCAGCCAUCCCGCGUGUGCGAUGAAGGCCUUCGGGUUGUAAAGCACUUUUGGCAGGAAAGAAACGUCGCGGGUUAAUACCUCGCGAAACUGACGGUACCUGCAGAAUAAGCACCGGCUAACUACGUGCCAGCACCCGCGGUAAUAAAAUAAAAAAA
This 504-nucleotide ribosomal RNA is filed under the name Achromobacter sp. Hu15C. RNAcentral describes it as "bacterial SSU rRNA". It matches the Rfam family "Bacterial small subunit ribosomal RNA", at positions 39 to 533 of the family's 1533-position model. Lineage: Bacteria; Pseudomonadati; Pseudomonadota; Betaproteobacteria; Burkholderiales; Alcaligenaceae. The record is from RNAcentral.